Molecule: ribosomal RNA, 528 nt
Filed under: uncultured bacterium
Lineage: Bacteria
Description: bacterial SSU rRNA
Rfam family: Bacterial small subunit ribosomal RNA
Source: RNAcentral
AAUAGAUACCCUGGUAGUCCACGCCGUAAACGAUGAGUGACUAAGUGUUAGAGGGUUUCCGCCCUUUAGUGCUGAAGUUAACGCAUUAAGCACUCCGCCUGGGGAGUACGGCCGCAAGGCUGAAACUCAAAGGAAUUGACGGGGGCCCGCACAAGCGGUGGAGCAUGUGGUUUAAUUCGAAGCAACGCGAAGAACCUUACCAGGUCUUGACAUCCUCUGACAACCCUAGAGAUAGGGCUUCUCCUUCGGGAGCAGAGUGACAGGUGGUGCAUGGUUGUCGUCAGCUCGUGUCGUGAGAUGUUGGGUUAAGUCCCGCAACGAGCGCAACCCUUGAUCUUAGUUACCAUCAUUAAGUUGGGCACUCUAAGGUGACUGCCGGUGACAAACCGGAGGAAGGUGGGGAUGACGUCAAAUCAUCAUGCCCCUUAUGACCUGGGCUACACACGUGCUACAAUGGACGGUACAAAGAGCUGCAAGACCGCGAGGUGGAGCUAAUCUCAUAAAACCGUUCUCAGUUCGGAUUGUAGG